GUUAGGAAUAUUGGACAAUGGGCGCAAGCCUGAUCCAGCCAUGUCGCGUGAGUGAUGAAGGCCUUCGGGUUGUAAAGCUCUUUAGUCCACGAAUAUAAUGACUGUAGUGGAAGAAUAAGCCCCGGCUAACUUCGUGCCAGCAGCCGCGGUAAUACGAAGGGGGCGAGCGUUAUUCGGAAUCACUGGGCGUAAAGCGUGCGUAGGCUGUUUUGUAAGUCAGAAGUGAAAGCCCAGGGCUUAACCCUGGAAUUGCUUUUGAAACUACAAGACUCGAAUUCGGGAGAGGAUAGCGGAAUUGUCAGUGUAGCAGUGAAAUGCGUAGAUAUUGACAGGAACACCAGUGGCGCAAGCGGCUAUCUGGACCGAUAUUGACGCUGAGGCACGAAAGCGUGGGGAGCAAACAGGAUUAGAUACCCGAGUAGUCC
RNAcentral lists this ribosomal RNA (425 nucleotides) under uncultured bacterium. Its description in RNAcentral is "partial 16S ribosomal RNA". It matches the Rfam family "Bacterial small subunit ribosomal RNA", at positions 354 to 796 of the family's 1533-position model. The record is from RNAcentral.